This is a non-coding RNA of Schistosoma mansoni, 45 nucleotides long. Lineage: Eukaryota; Metazoa; Platyhelminthes; Trematoda; Strigeidida; Schistosomatidae. The record is from Rfam.
AUCCAGUUGACGAAUCCCAAAUAGGACGAAACGCGCAUCCUGGAU